Molecule: ribosomal RNA, 492 nt
Filed under: uncultured bacterium
Lineage: Bacteria
Description: partial 16S ribosomal RNA
Rfam family: Bacterial small subunit ribosomal RNA
Source: RNAcentral
AGUGAACGCUGGCGGUAGGCCUAACACAUGCAAGUCGAACGGCAGCACAGUAAGAGCUUGCUCUUACGGGUGGCGAGUGGCGGACGGGUGAGGAAUACAUCGGAAUCUACUUUUUCGUGGGGGAUAACGUAGGGAAACUUACGCUAAUACCGCAUACGACCUACGGGUGAAAGCAGGGGAUCUUCGGACCUUGCGCGAUUGAAUGAGCCGAUGUCGGAUUAGCUAGUUGGCGGGGUAAAGGCCCACCAAGGCGACGAUCCGUAGCUGGUCUGAGAGGAUGAUCAGCAACACUGGAACUGAGACACGGUCCAGACACCUACGGGAGGCAGCAGUGGGGAAUAUUGGACAAUGGGCGCAAGCCUGAUCCAGCCAUACCGCGUGGGUGAAGAAGGCAUUCGGGUUGUAAAGACCUUUUGUUGGGAAAGAAAAGCAGCAGGUUAAUACCCCGCUGUUCUGACGGUACCCAAAGAAUAAGCACCGGCUAACUUCGUG